This 434-nucleotide unclassified non-coding RNA is filed under the name Circinomucor sp. 4 ERP-2018. Its description in RNAcentral is "sequence contains 18S rRNA gene, ITS1, 5.8S rRNA gene, ITS2, 28S rRNA gene". The stretch from base 149 to 301 matches the Rfam family "5.8S ribosomal RNA". The record is from RNAcentral. Lineage: Eukaryota; Fungi; Mucoromycota; Mucoromycetes; Mucorales; Mucoraceae.
GGCGCCUGAGGAAUGUUCUGCUGCUAUAAGGAUAGGCAGCAGAAAUGUUAACCGAGCCAUAAUCAAGCUUAGGCUUGGUAUCCUAUUAUUAUUUACCAAAAGAAUUCAGAAUUAAUAUUGUAACAUAGACCUAAAAAAUCUAUAAAACAACUUUUAACAACGGAUCUCUUGGUUCUCGCAUCGAUGAAGAACGUAGCAAAGUGCGAUAACUAGUGUGAAUUGCAUAUUCAGUGAAUCAUCGAGUCUUUGAACGCAACUUGCGCUCAUUGGUAUUCCAAUGAGCACGCCUGUUUCAGUAUCAAAACAAACCCUCUAUCCAACAUUCUUGUUGAAUAGGAUGACUGAGAGUCUCCUGGUCAAUUUUGGCCUCGAACCUCUUGAAAUGUACAAAGGCCUGAUCUUGUUUAAAUGCCUGAACUUUUUUUUAAUAUAAA